RNAcentral lists this ribosomal RNA (169 nucleotides) under Serranocirrhitus latus (hawkfish anthias). RNAcentral describes it as "partial 12S rRNA". Lineage: Eukaryota; Metazoa; Chordata; Actinopteri; Perciformes; Anthiadidae. The record is from RNAcentral.
CACCGCGGUUAUACGAGGGACCCAAGUUGAUAGCCUCCGGCGUAAAGCGUGGUUAGGUUAAAAUCAAUGCUAAAGCCGAACGUAUCCAAAGCUGUUAUACGCACCCGAAUAAUAGAAGCCCAAUUACGAAAGUAGCUUUAUAUUUACUGAACCCACGAAAGCUAGGGCA